RNAcentral lists this ribosomal RNA (2608 nucleotides) under Metabetaeus sp. HDB-2009. Its description in RNAcentral is "eukaryotic LSU rRNA". It matches the Rfam family "Eukaryotic large subunit ribosomal RNA", at positions 71 to 1875 of the family's 3401-position model. The record is from RNAcentral. Lineage: Eukaryota; Metazoa; Arthropoda; Malacostraca; Decapoda; Alpheidae.
UGGAUUCCCCUUAGUAAGGGCGACUGAAAUGGGAAGAGCCCAGCGCAUAACCUCGCAGGAGUAGCUUGCCUGUCGAGGGGUGUUGCGUUUCGGUGGAUCCGUCCCGCCCGCGCUGCUUACCGCCUAAGUCAUUGUUUGAAAGCAGUCCCACGGAGGGUGAAAGGCCCGUGUGGGCGGCGCCUUGGUAAGGUGAAGGCGGCGUGGGCGGAGGGAUGUUUACCGUAGAGUCGGGUUGCUUAGUAGUGCAGCCCUAAGAUGGUGGUAAACUCCAUCUAAGGCUAGAUAUAACCACGAGUCCGAUAGCAGACAAGUACCGUGAGGGAAAGCUGAAAAGAACUUUGAAGAGAGAGUUCAAAAGGACGUGAAACCAUUAGAAGCUUAAACGGGUGGACCCGCGACGGUCGAACGAGGGGAUUCAGGCGGCCUUUGGCGCGCGGCAGUGGCUGGUACAGGCUGGAAAAGACCCGGCGUUCUAACGUGGACGGCCGGGCUCCAGUCGCUGGUUGCGUUGCCUCCGGGCCGUCUUAGUUCUCCCUCUAGUAGCAGCGCCGCGACCUGCUGCGGGUGGCUCCUAGGGCUCUCUCCAGACUGGUAGCUGUGACCGCAAGGUCGCAGUGAUGACUGGGCGAGUUCCGAAGGGGCCGCGGCGGCGGUCACUGCCAGGAGGGCGCCCGAGCCUCUUACGGCGAGGGCGGCCUCUCGCGGUGCAUGUCAGAUCGGGCAUCCACCUGACCCGUCUUGAAACACGGACCAAGGAGUCUAACAUGUGAGCAAGUCUAAGGUUUUGCUAAAGCUUUAGGCGAAAUGAAAGUGAGCCCUUUGCAACUGCCUCGUCUGCUUUGUGUGGGCGAGGCGGGGCAGGCCGAUCCCCGGCCUGGCGCUGGGCGCUGCCGUGGCGUGGGCUGCGUGGAGGUAGUUUCCGCGUCCCGCUGCGGUGCGUUCGGCGUCGGGCGACGCUGGUGGCUGGCUGAGGCUGGCGGCGGCUUUCUCUCUCUCUCUUGGGGGAGGGGAGGCUGUUGUCGGCGGAUGGCAGCGACCGUGCGUGCGUUCGAGGCAGUGAAUGCGGGGCGCAGGCCGAGGACUUGUCGUCAGCGGCCCCGGCGACGGGGGAGAGGCCGUCUUCACGGGCGGCCCCUCUCUUUAGCCGGGCGUCCGCGGGCAAGUACCUAAGAGCUCACCCGUUGAGACCCGAAAGAUGGUGAACUAUGCCCGGUGAGGACGAAGCCAGAGGAAACUCUGGUGGAGGUCCGAAGCAGUUCUGACGUGCAAAUCGAUUGUCUGAACUGGGUAUAGGGGCGAAAGACUAAUCGAACCAUCUAGUAGCUGGUUCCCUCCGAAGUUUCCCUCAGGAUAGCUGGCGCUCGGAGGAGGAUGAGUUUCAUCCGGUAAAGCGAAUGAUUAGAGGCCUUGGGGGUGCAACGCCCUCAACCUAUUCUCAAACUUUAAAUGGGUGAGAUGCUGAGCUUACUUGAUUGUUGCCCAGUUGAAGCUCAAGCAUAGAAUCAGAGUGCCUAGUGGGCCACUUUUGGUAAGCAGAACUGGCGCUGUGGGAUGAACCAAACGUACGAGUUAAGGGGCCUAAACGAACGCUAAUAUAGACACUACGAAAAGGUGUUGGUUGCUAUAGACAGCAGGGCGGUGGCCAUGGAAGUUGGAAUCCGCUAAGGAGUGUGUAACAACUCACCUGCCGAAGCAACUAGCCCUUAAAAUGGUAUGGCGCUAAAGCGUUCUCCCGAUACUCGGCCGCCGGUGCAUAAGGUUUAGCUGUUUUGGAACCUUGAGGCACCGGCGAGUAGGAGGGUCGCAGCGGCGUGCGUUGAAGGUGUCCGGCGUGAGCCGGCCUGGAGCCACCGCUGGUGCAGAUCUUGGUGGUAGUAGCAAAUAAUCUAAAGAGAACCUCGUUGACUGAGGUGGAGAAGGGUUCCAUGUCAACAUCAGUUGAACAUGGGUGAGUCAGGCCUAAGCCCAAGGAUAAAGUUCCUGCGUCCCAUGAGUUUCCUACCGGUGAUAGAGGUGGCAGGUGGACCACCCUUACUGCUAGUGUGUGUGUAGUUUGCUGCUGCUGCUGCUGCUGCUGCUAGGCGGUGGCGGCGGCAGCAGACGACUACUACCACUACUAUCAUCGUCACUCGGGACUUAUGGGUACGCAGUGGCGAACGGGAACACGGUAAUGAUUCCGUGACCUGUGUCAGGCGGCCCGGACGUAUCGCCUUCGGGAGAGGGUCCGGGCCUUAUGUGUGACAAGCCCUGGUAACAGGAUCUGGCUUGCGUCCACUGGCGGCUGGUCCGGGGGAGAGUUUUCUUUUUCUGUUUUAGGCCCCGUGGUCCCUGAAAAUAAUGUGUCUGGAGAAGGGGACGAUGGUUUUUAAAACCACACGGUGGCCGUAGAGCGGCACAGUUCUUGUGUCGUCCCGUGCACCAACGCCAGUCCGUGAAAGAUGUAAGUGAGGUAGUCACACGGGCAGUUUCUAUGCCGUGGGCGUGCUAAGGCGGCGAGGAGCGGCCUGGGCUGGCGACGGCCCGGGGUGCGAUUCGGCGUCGGUGCGUGCCUGCGGCGCCCAGCCUCGACAGAGACUGUACCCAUCUCCGCAUCCGGUCUCCGAGUCGA